Molecule: ribosomal RNA, 253 nt
Filed under: uncultured bacterium
Lineage: Bacteria
Description: partial 16S ribosomal RNA
Rfam family: Bacterial small subunit ribosomal RNA
Source: RNAcentral
AACGUAGGAGACAAACGUUAUCCGGAGUUACUGGGCGUAAAGGGCGUGUAGGCGGUUUGUUAAGUCUGGCGUGAAAGCUCUCGGCUAAACCGGGAGAGGUCGUUGGAUACUGGCAAACUAGAGGAUGGUAGAGGCGUGUGGAAUUCCGGGUGUAGUGGUGAAAUGCAUAGAGAUCCGGAGGAACACCAGUGGCGAAGGCGACACGCUGGGCCAUACCUGACGCUAAAGCGCGACAGCAUGGGGAGCAAACGGG